UAUAAAUGAGUGUCUAAUAGUGUUUUAAAUGUGUGCAUUCUUUAUUUUAGCAUUUUGGUGCAUUUUCUUUAAAAAUUAAAAAUUCUGUCUAAAAACCACAGUAAUGCGCCACCUUCAGCUGAAAACAUAGAAUUUGAGUCAUUUUGAAUAAAUUUUAGCCAAUGGCUAAAGAGUAAAGUACUACGUAAACCAGUAGAGUACUACGUAGCAGCUCCGUGCCAAAGUUAUAAAAGCAACGAGCCUCUCGGCCACGCCCUGUGGCGAGUGGGAGUUGGAUUUGCAAGCGAGCGUAGGAGGUCAGCGGUAGUUCAGCAUUAGCAUAUAGCAUUAGCAUAUCCUAGUCUUUAGCAUAUAUUUUAGUGUUAUAAAUACUUAUUUAGUGUUAGCUUGGCUGUUGGAUAUUGUAGUUUAGUUAGUGUUUGGCUGUUAGUGUAAUUGGGAAAGUAUUUCGGGUUUAGUGUUCCAUAUCGUCUUAGUAUUGGUGAGUAGGUGUAGUGUAGUAUGCUUGCGGUGACUCUGUGGGCAUUUUACCCGCGAUUCUGCACGCCUCCGUUUGAAGAGGGAGGCUGCCCACCGUGGCUCUUCCGCGAUUUAGAUGCAGCCCACCGACUCUGCUCCCCCACCACGGCGGGCUCCAGUCUGAGGCUAAAUCUACCCAAGACACUGGCUGUCAGACUGAUUUAGCUGCAAGAAUGCACUUGUCCAGGCUGACGUGAAACCUUCCCUGUAGCAAAGCCAGCCAGAAUGGAGUUUACAGCCGCAGUGUGUCUGGUGACCCACCGGGAUCAUGACGGAAAUUCAUCUUCCAGAAGG
This is a non-coding RNA of Nothobranchius furzeri (turquoise killifish), 813 nucleotides long. Lineage: Eukaryota; Metazoa; Chordata; Actinopteri; Cyprinodontiformes; Nothobranchiidae. The record is from RefSeq and is a predicted model, not a curated record.